This 73-nucleotide transfer RNA is filed under the name Myxococcales bacterium. RNAcentral's name for it is "tRNA-Val". The record is from RNAcentral. Lineage: Bacteria; Pseudomonadati; Myxococcota; Myxococcia; Myxococcales.
GGGCGGCCCGCCGGCUGGUGCCGGCACCUGGCCCACACCCAGGAGAAGGAGGGUUCGAUCCCCUCGCCACCCA